This 465-nucleotide ribosomal RNA is filed under the name Vreelandella stevensii. RNAcentral describes it as "partial 16S ribosomal RNA". It matches the Rfam family "Bacterial small subunit ribosomal RNA", at positions 338 to 795 of the family's 1533-position model. Lineage: Bacteria; Pseudomonadati; Pseudomonadota; Gammaproteobacteria; Oceanospirillales; Halomonadaceae. The record is from RNAcentral.
CCUACGGGAGGCUGCAGUGGGGAAUAUUGGACAAUGGGGGGAACCCUGAUCCAGCCAUGCCGCGUGUGUGAAGAAGGCCCUCGGGUUGUAAAGCACUUUCAGUGAGGAAGAACGCCUGGUGGUUAAUACCCAUCAGGAAAGACAUCACUCACAGAAGAAGCACCGGCUAACUCCGUGCCAGCAGCCGCGGUAAUACGGAGGGUGCGAGCGUUAAUCGGAAUUACUGGGCGUAAAGCGCGCGUAGGUGGCUUGAUAAGCCGGUUGUGAAAGCCCCGGGCUCAACCUGGGAACGGCAUCCGGAACUGUCAAGCUAGAGUGCAGGAGAGGAAGGUAGAAUUCCCGGUGUAGUGGUGAAAUGCGUAGAGAUCGGGAGGAAUACCAGUGGCGAAGGCGGCCUUCUGGACUGACACUGACACUGAGGUGCGAAAGCGUGGGUAGCAAACAGGAUUAGAUACCCUGGUAGUC